Molecule: ribosomal RNA, 250 nt
Filed under: uncultured bacterium
Lineage: Bacteria
Description: partial 16S ribosomal RNA
Rfam family: Bacterial small subunit ribosomal RNA
Source: RNAcentral
UGGCGACCGGCGCACGGGUGAGUAACGCGUAUCCAACCUGCCUGUUACCACGGCACAGCCCGUCGAAAGGCGGAUUAAUGCCGUAUGUGGUCUUGAGAGGGCAUCUGAUCAUGACUAAAGGUUCGGCGGUAACGGAUGGGGAUGCGUCCGAUUAGCUAGACGGCGGGGUAACGGCCCACCGUGGCUACGAUCGGUAGGGGUUCUGAGAGGAAGGUCCCCCACACUGGAACUGAGACACGGUCCAGACUCC